Molecule: long non-coding RNA, 1019 nt
Organism: Balaenoptera ricei (Rice's whale)
Lineage: Eukaryota; Metazoa; Chordata; Mammalia; Artiodactyla; Balaenopteridae
Exons: 4
Source: RefSeq, a predicted model, not a curated record
CAGAGGCGCCAAGACCGGGCUGGGGGCCAAAGGAAACUGCGGGCGGAGGUAACCGGCCGGACAGCGUGCACAAGCUCCCACCACGGGCCCCCGGAACAGCUGGACAGAGCGGUCUGUGUGCUCGGCCCACCCUCUGCAGCACUCCUUUCGCCUGCCACACCCAUCCAAACCCUCAGCCCAGGCAAAUCUGAGCGGCGAUCUGCAGGAGCUCGGCCGGCGCAGCAGCUGCGCGGCGGAAAUCAGCCGCCUGGGAUCACGUGGGCCUAACCCGGCUCCCUGCUGCUUUAAACCCCGAGGCCCCUGCUCCAGCCUCAGGCUCCCAGCCCGCCCAUCUUUUUCGAGUUCUCACUGGGUCCCUCCAACCCCCAUUCUCGUCCCGAGCGGAAUGUCCCACAGCGAGCGGAGACCGUCUGGGCUGGAAGGGACCGCAAAAAUCCUCAGGCACCUUUGCGCUCCAGACCCCUCCGCAGCACCUUUAAGCAAAGUUGCUGAGCUGCUGAAGGGUGCAGAAGAGUAACUUUACAAUGGAGAAACCUGAUGAAAACCACCUCAGCCAGGUGAUCAAGGUCAACAUCAACAGUGAUAAGUCAUGUCGGCAAUACUUACACAUGAGUAUAUAAAACGUGUGUGUGCAGUGGGAAAAGUUAUACAGCAAACACGCUUGGAACCACCACCCAGAUCAAGAAGUGGAACAUUUCAAGUACAAAACUACUGCUCCCCUAUGGCCCAGCACCCUCACUUCCAGAAACACAAGCAAAAACAUGUACAAGGAUCUUCGCGGAAACAUGUUCUGAAGAGCAAAAACCAAAAUAAAAGGAGUCGGCAGUGUGCUGGCACCUACACGAAUGACUGUGCUUAAUCCCCACACCCCGGCUGGGGAUGAGGUGGGGAAGACGGCGGCUGAGGCUCUGCCACAACAGCUGGCCUGGUGGGAUGGGGGGCAGGGGCCCUAGCUGGCCUGACUCAAGGUUCCUUUAUUUUGGUCCUUUGUACAAAAAUAAAAAAUCUUCAAGUGUUCA